CCACUGCUGAGGAGUCCCACAAUAGGACGAAACGGCCGUCCAAUGC
RNAcentral lists this non-coding RNA (46 nucleotides) under Schistosoma haematobium. The record is from RNAcentral. Lineage: Eukaryota; Metazoa; Platyhelminthes; Trematoda; Strigeidida; Schistosomatidae.